This 184-nucleotide unclassified non-coding RNA is filed under the name soil metagenome. RNAcentral describes it as "partial internal transcribed spacer 1". The record is from RNAcentral.
AAAGAUAUAGCAUAUUCUUCUGAAUAUACUUUAUUAACCCAUUCCGAGUACCUUACCCGUUGCUUCCGCGAGGCUGUCCUCACGGCCCUCUGAAGAUUUAUCUUUGGGGAGUCCUUGCGGAAGGUAUACAAUAAACUCUUGCAUUACCAUGCCAUCUGUCUGAAUCUGUUUAAAGCAAAUAUUA